RNAcentral lists this ribosomal RNA (253 nucleotides) under uncultured bacterium. RNAcentral's name for it is "partial 16S ribosomal RNA". It matches the Rfam family "Archaeal small subunit ribosomal RNA", at positions 474 to 727 of the family's 1478-position model. The record is from RNAcentral.
UACCCGCAGCACAAGUGGUGGUCAUUAUUAUUGGGCCUAAAGCGUCCGUAGCUGGCUUGUUAGAUGCCUGGGUAAAUCGAUGCGCUCAACGCAUCGAAUUCCGGGUAGACCGGCAAGCUUGGGACCGGGAGAGGCAUGGGCUACUCGCGGGGUAGGGGUAAAAUCCUGUAAUCCUGCGGGGAGGACCAGUGGCGAAGGCGCCAUGCUAGAACGGCUCUGACAGUGAGGGACGAAGCCCUGGGGCGCAAACCGG